Molecule: ribosomal RNA, 271 nt
Filed under: uncultured prokaryote
Description: partial 16S ribosomal RNA
Rfam family: Bacterial small subunit ribosomal RNA
Source: RNAcentral
UACGGAGGAUCCGAGCGUUAUCCGGAUUUAUUGGGUUUAAAGGGUGCGCAGGCGGGAGAUUAAGUCGGCGGUGAAAUUUUGCAGCUCAACUGUAAAAGUGCCUUCGAAACUGGUUUCCUUGAGUGUAGAUGAAGUAGGCGGAAUUUGUGGUGUAGCGGUGAAAUGCUUAGAUAUCACGAGGAACUCCGAUUGCGCAGGCAGCUUACUAAACUACUACUGACGCUCAGGCACGAAGGCGUGGGGAUCAAACAGGAUUAGAUACCCCUGUAGU